Long non-coding RNA from Ailuropoda melanoleuca (giant panda), 1700 nucleotides. RefSeq lists it as uncharacterized. The transcript has 6 exons. The record is from RefSeq and is a predicted model, not a curated record. Lineage: Eukaryota; Metazoa; Chordata; Mammalia; Carnivora; Ursidae.
UUCCAAGACCCCUUCUGCUACCAUUUCCUUUCUGUUUCAAGAACGUGUUUCGGUCAUUCUUUUAGACUGGGUCUGGGGCAACAAAUCCGUUUUCCUUCACGUGAUAAUGUCUAUGUUUGCCAUCAUUCCUGCAGAGUAACUCCAGGUGUAGGAUCCCGGGUUCAAGCAGGUUCUUAGCACGUCCUCCAGUCUUCCCGGUUUCCAGCGAGAGAUCUGCGGUCACUGGAAUGGUUCUCAGCCUCCUGAACCUAACCACCCCGAUCCAGAUUCUGUGCUCGGCAACCAGUGUCACCUGGUACGCUUACAAUGCUGCUCACAUGACUGGACAGGCCCUGAAAAGCCUAACCCCAACGCUUUCCCGUUGCUUUGAGAAUUCAGAAGGCUUCGUAUGGGAGGGGAGGCGUAGCACCAGGGCCAGUGGAGGCGACGGGAGCAGCUACGGCGGCCACUGGAAAAGUCUGCGCCCCUCUGGGAGGGGGUUCACGUGCAGUGACAGGACCCAGGACACUGCGACCUGGAUGCGUGAGGACUAGCGGCUCAACCCAGACGCCGACGUCCAGCUCUGGCCCCCAUCUCUAACAAAGGGAGGCGACAUACGGAGAGAGGCGACCCCACCAUCGACUCCCUGGGAGCGUACAGCACAUCACACCCAGCAGCGCUCUCUGGAACGGCAAGCCGGGCUGGGGCUCUGGGAAAAUCAUCUAAAGACAAAGAACAGGCCCUUCAUCGUCUUACAAACAAGAACAAAUGGGAAGGUCACGGUUCCUGCAUAAAGGUACGCGGUCAGCACCCACAAUCCUCGGCACACAGGUUGCUCCCCUUACGCGACUGCAUGACGGGGGCGUUGGACGGUCCCUCCCAACAUCUCGCUGCACUCCGGACGGGUCUGUCCCUCUGCGGUUGAGCUCCACCCCCAACAGCCACUGCUCCAGGUGCUGUUCUUACAACGUCUCACCUCGGUGUCUGGAGCCCUCUCCAGCUUUCUUUCCUCGAUGCUGCAAGAGACGUCUUUCUAAAAUACCUCCUGAAAAUGUCAUUCCCCUGCUGAGAACUCCUGAACGACUCCUCAGGACUUCAGAACAAAGCCCAGGCCCCUCUUCAGUCCCCCACUGCUACUGUUACAUCUCUCCAAACCCUACGUCCACUCUCUGCUCCCCAGUCACACUGCGGAUCUGUGCACGCUGUCCUCUGCCCUUCCUCCUCUAGUAACCCCCAUGUGCCUUCAAACCGCGCUCUACCUGCCCUCCCUGCUCACACAGAUCAGUCCUCAUAAAGCCACCGGUGGGACCUACCCUCAGAAUGCAAGGGGACUGAGGGCCUACACUUGUUUUAAUUGCCUUUGUUUUCCCAGGACCAAGCACAGUGCCUGGCGUAAAAUAAAACACAUUCACGUGUCUGAACAAAUGUCCAAACCGUGCUCUGCUCACGUUCUUUUCUUGGAAGAGUAAUUGUUAAUGGAUUUAUUUAUUUUUUUUUUUUAAAAGAUUUUAUUUAUUUAUUUGACAGAGAUAGAGACAGCCAGCGAGAGAGGGAACACAAGCAGGGGGAGUGGGAGAGGAAGAAGCAGGCUCAUAGAGGAGGAGCCUGACGUGGGGCUCGAUCCCGUAACACCGGGAUCACGCCCUGAGCCCAAGGCAGAAGCUUAACCGCUGUGCCACCCAGGCGCCCCUGUUAAUGGAUUUAUUAAGCAUUGCUUUGAA